RNAcentral lists this ribosomal RNA (856 nucleotides) under Microbacterium sp. ENNP2_I. RNAcentral describes it as "bacterial SSU rRNA". It matches the Rfam family "Bacterial small subunit ribosomal RNA", at positions 56 to 922 of the family's 1533-position model. Lineage: Bacteria; Bacillati; Actinomycetota; Actinomycetes; Micrococcales; Microbacteriaceae. The record is from RNAcentral.
UGCAAGUCGAACGAUGAAGCCCAGCUUGCUGGGUGGAUUAGUGGCGAACGGGUGAGUAACACGUGAGCAACCUGCCCCUGACUCUGGGAUAAGCGCUGGAAACGGUGUCUAAUACUGGAUAUGUCCCGUCACCGCAUGGUGUGCGGGUGGAAAGAUUUUUCGGUUGGGGAUGGGCUCGCGGCCUAUCAGCUUGUUGGUGAGGUAAUGGCUCACCAAGGCGUCGACGGGUAGCCGGCCUGAGAGGGUGACCGGCCACACUGGGACUGAGACACGGCCCAGACUCCUACGGGAGGCAGCAGUGGGGAAUAUUGCACAAUGGGCGGAAGCCUGAUGCAGCAACGCCGCGUGAGGGAUGACGGCCUUCGGGUUGUAAACCUCUUUUAGCAGGGAAGAAGCGAGAGUGACGGUACCUGCAGAAAAAGCACCGGCUAACUACGUGCCAGCAGCCGCGGUAAUACGUAGGGUGCAAGCGUUAUCCGGAAUUAUUGGGCGUAAAGAGCUCGUAGGCGGUCUGUCGCGUCUGCUGUGAAAUUCCGAGGCUCAACCUCGGGCUUGCAGUGGGUACGGGCAGACUAGAGUGCGGUAGGGGAGAUUGGAAUUCCUGGUGUAGCGGUGGAAUGCGCAGAUAUCAGGAGGAACACCGAUGGCGAAGGCAGAUCUCUGGGCCGUAACUGACGCUGAGGAGCGAAAGGGUGGGGAGCAAACAGGCUUAGAUACCCUGGUAGUCCACCCCGUAAACGUUGGGAACUAGUUGUGGGGUCCUUUCCACGGAUUCCGUGACGCAGCUAACGCAUUAAGUUCCCCGCCUGGGGAGUACGGCCGCAAGGCUAAAACUCAAAGGAAUUGACGGGGACCC